Molecule: ribosomal RNA, 451 nt
Filed under: uncultured bacterium
Lineage: Bacteria
Description: partial 16S ribosomal RNA
Rfam family: Bacterial small subunit ribosomal RNA
Source: RNAcentral
GUGGGGAAUUUUGGACAAUGGGGGGAACCCUGAUCCAGCCAUGCCGCGUGUGUGAAGAAGGCCUUUUGGUUGUAAAGCACUUUAAGCGAGGAGGAGGCUACCGAGAUUAAUACUCUUGGAUAGUGGACGUUACUCGCAGAAUAAGCACCGGCUAACUCUGUGCCAGCAGCCGCGGUAAUACAGAGGGUGCAAGCGUUAAUCGGAUUUACUGGGCGUAAAGCGCGCGUAGGUGGCCAAUUAAGUCAAAUGUGAAAUCCCCGAGCUUAACUUGGGAAUUGCAUUCGAUACUGGUUGGCUAGAGUAUGGGAGAGGAUGGUAGAAUUCCAGGUGUAGCGGUGAAAUGCGUAGAGAUCUGGAGGAAUACCGAUGGCGAAGGCAGCCAUCUGGCCUAAUACUGACACUGAGGUGCGAAAGCAUGGGGAGCAAACAGGAUUAGAUACCCGUGUAGUCC